This is a non-coding RNA of Cyanistes caeruleus (blue tit), 410 nucleotides long. Lineage: Eukaryota; Metazoa; Chordata; Aves; Passeriformes; Paridae. The record is from RefSeq and is a predicted model, not a curated record.
UGCAGGUUCUCCCCUGGAACUACCUGUGUGGGGCACUGCCCUCUCACCUCCUGCAGUCCCAAGUGAGGUGAGCCAGGGUCCAAAUACAGACUGGGCCUUGCUUUGAGUGAUGAAGCCUCUGCAGAGCGCAAAUGUUUCCGAGACACAAGGCUAAGGAUCCCUGGACACUGUGACACCUCUCCCAGUCUGCAGUCCCAUGUAUUUGGCCAACAUGGGCAGGCUGACCAGAAAGCCAGCAGGACAGGAGCAUCACAGGGAUGCACAGGAACCAGAACAUCAUGGGGUGGUCUGAAAUGUCAUCUUCAUCUGCUAAAACAAACCUGGUUAAACACAGUGAGGCCUCUGCAGAAAGAAAAAACCAGAAAAAUGUCCUGUAUUCUGCAGAGAUGAUUAAAUUGCAUGUCCUGUAA